This 256-nucleotide ribosomal RNA is filed under the name uncultured Scutellospora. RNAcentral describes it as "partial 18S ribosomal RNA". It matches the Rfam family "Eukaryotic small subunit ribosomal RNA", at positions 628 to 886 of the family's 1831-position model. Lineage: Eukaryota; Fungi; Glomeromycota; Glomeromycetes; Diversisporales; Gigasporaceae. The record is from RNAcentral.
AAGCGUCGUAGUUGAAUUUCGGGGUUCUACCCGUUGGUCGGGCUUUGUCUGUACUGGCGUGUAGAAUUUCUACCUUCUGGGGAACCAUUAUGUUAUUAAUUUAGCGUGGUGGGAAACCAGGACCUUUACCUUGAAAAAAUUAGAGUGUUCAAAGCAGGCUUAUGUCUGAAUACAUUAGCAUGGAAUAAUAGAAUAGGACGGUGGUCCUGUUUUGUUGGUUUCUGAAUCACCGUAAUGAUUAAUAGGGAUAGUUGGG